UACGUAGGGGGCUAGCGUUGUCCGGAAUCAUUGGGCGUAAAGAGCGCGUAGGCGGCCAGAUAAGUCCGGUGUGAAAGUCAAAGGCUCAACCUUUGAAAGCCGAUGGAUACUGUGAAGCUAGAGUACGGAAGAGGCGAGUGGAAUUCCUGGUGUAGCGGUGGAAUGCGCAGAUAUCAGGAGGAACACCAAUAGCGAAGGCAGCUCGCUGGGACGUUACUGACACUGAGGCGCGAAAGCGUGGGGAGCGAACAGG
RNAcentral lists this ribosomal RNA (253 nucleotides) under uncultured bacterium. RNAcentral's name for it is "partial 16S ribosomal RNA". It matches the Rfam family "Bacterial small subunit ribosomal RNA", at positions 524 to 776 of the family's 1533-position model. The record is from RNAcentral.